RNAcentral lists this ribosomal RNA (456 nucleotides) under Hymenobacter sp. RNAcentral describes it as "bacterial SSU rRNA". It matches the Rfam family "Bacterial small subunit ribosomal RNA", at positions 22 to 483 of the family's 1533-position model. The record is from RNAcentral. Lineage: Bacteria; Pseudomonadati; Bacteroidota; Cytophagia; Cytophagales; Hymenobacteraceae.
GCUCAGGAUGAACGCUAGCGGCAGGCCUAAUACAUGCAAGUCGAACGGUUUCCAGCAAUGGAGAUAGUGGCGCACGGGUGCGUAACGCGUAACCAACCUACCCGAAUCUGGGGGAUAGCCCGCCGAAAGGCGGAUUAAUACCGCAUAAGACUAUGAGCCGGCAUCGGAUGGUAGUUAAAGAUUUAUUGGAUUCGGAUGGGGUUGCGUGCCAUUAGCUAGUUGGGGGGGUAACGGCCCACCAAGGCGACGAUGGCUAGGGGAGCUGAGAGGCUGGUCCCCCACACGGGCACUGAGAUACGGGCCCGACUCCUACGGGAGGCAGCAGUAGGGAAUAUUGGGCAAUGGAGGAGACUCUGACCCAGCCAUGCCGCGUGCCGGAUGAAGGCCUUCUGGGUCGUAAACGGCUUUUUUCCGGGAAGAACCGGUUCCUUGCGAGGGGCUCUGACGGUACCGGAG